GACGAACGCUGGCGGCGUGCCUAAUACAUGCAAGUUGAGCGCUGAAGGUUGGUACUUGUACCGACUGGAUGAGCAGCGCACGGGUGAGUAACGCGUGGGGAAUCUGCCUUUGAGCGGGGGACAACAUUUGGAAACGAAUGCUAAUACCGCAUAAAAACUUUAAACACAAGUUUUAAGUUUGAAAGAUGCAAUUGCAUCACUCAAAGAUGAUCCCGCGUUGUAUUAGCUAGUUGGUGAGGUAAAGGCUCACCAAGGCGAUGAUACAUAGCCGACCUGAGAGGGUGAUCGGCCACACUGGGACUGAGACACGGCCCAAACUCAUACUGGAGGCAGCAGUAGGGAAUCUUCGGCAAUGGACGAAAGUCUGACCGAGCAACGCCGCGUGAGUGAAGAAGGUUUUCGGAUCGUAAAACUCUGUUGGUAGAGAAGAACGUUGGUGAGAGUGGAAAGCUCAUCAAGUGACGGUAACUACCCAGAAAGGGACGGCUAACUACGUG
Molecule: ribosomal RNA, 497 nt
Filed under: uncultured bacterium
Lineage: Bacteria
Description: partial 16S ribosomal RNA
Rfam family: Bacterial small subunit ribosomal RNA
Source: RNAcentral